Molecule: ribosomal RNA, 253 nt
Filed under: uncultured bacterium
Lineage: Bacteria
Description: partial 16S ribosomal RNA
Rfam family: Bacterial small subunit ribosomal RNA
Source: RNAcentral
UACGGGGGGAGCAAGCGUUGUUCGGAUUUACUGGGCGUAAAGGGCGCGUAGGCGGCGCAACAAGUCACUUGUGAAAUCUCCGGGCUUAACUCGGAGCGGCCAAGUGAUACUGUCGUGCUAGAGUGCGGAAGGGGCAACUGGAAUUCUCGGUGUAGCGGUGAAAUGCGUAGAUAUCGAGAGGAACACCUGCGGCGAAGGCGGGUUGCUGGGCCGUAACUGACGCUGAGGAGCGAAAGCAUGGGGAGCGAACAGG